RNAcentral lists this ribosomal RNA (484 nucleotides) under uncultured bacterium. Its description in RNAcentral is "partial 16S ribosomal RNA". It matches the Rfam family "Bacterial small subunit ribosomal RNA", at positions 30 to 507 of the family's 1533-position model. The record is from RNAcentral.
AUUGAACGCUGGCGGCAGGCCUAACACAUGCGAGUCGAGCGGAUGAGGGGUGCUUGCUCCCUGAUUUAGCUGCGGACUGGCGAGUAAUUCCUAGGUAUCUGCCUGUCUGCUUUUGAUAACGUUCUGACAUGAAGGCUAAUACCCCAUUCGUCCAUCCGGACUAAGCAUGGGACCUUCGGGUCUUCCGCCAUUACAUGAGCCUAUGUCGGAUUAGCUAGUUGGUGAGGUAAUGGCUCACCAAGGCGACGAUCCGUACCUGGUCUGAGAGGAUGAUCAGUCACACUGGAACUGAGACACGGUCCAGACUCCUACGGGAGGCAGCAGUGGGGAAUAUUGGACAAUGGGCGAAAGCCUGAUCCAGCCAUGCCGCGUGUGUGAAGAAGGUCUUCGGAUUGUAAAGCACUUUUGGUUGGGAAGAAGAGCUGCUGGUUAAUACCCUGCAGUUUUGACGUUACCAAAAGAAUAAGCACCGGCUAACUUCGUG